ACACACUUCUACUACUACAUACAUUUUCUACUAUGACUUCUACUUAUUUCCACAUAUCUCUAGAACAUUCUUUAGACUUACUACUUAUUACUAAAUUUGGGCUUAAAACUCACAAGGCCCAAAACUAACAAACCCAAAAUCAAUUUAUAUAUUCAACAACCACAUGUUGUUGCUAGGAUUGGAAUUAGUUCCCUUGGUUUCUCAAAUUUUUAAUGAAAGAAAUAUCCUUGUAAGAGGAAUAGCACAUCCCAUGAUGUUUGCGAAACGAAAAACAGGAAGAUUGCCAGAAAUAUCUUCUUUUGACACAUUCAGAAUUAUGGGUGUUGUUCCUGUGGCACCGUUUAACCUCUUCAAACUUUUAUCUUCCAAGUCACAUGUCGUGUUAUAUCCUGGAGGGAUGCGCGAGGCUCUUCAUAGGAAGGUUGUGAUUGAUUAUGAUGACUUGGUGAAGAUUCCUUAUUUCAAGUCUGAAAUUGAAAGCCUUACAAAUGAGGCUAUGCAGUUGAGUGAAAAUGAUCGGCGUGAAUGUUGUGAUGAUUUUGAUCACCGAUUAAAAGCGUAAAUAUGUGAGCGUUGCACAAGGAGUUGACGAGUUUGAGUUUACAGGAAAUGAAUUUCUGAAAGAAAUACAUCUCAAUACAUCUCACCCAGGUGGAAGCUCAGGAAGGAAUCAUUCAUGAUAUUUCCAAUUUAUGCGAUGUAGCAGAAGCAAUGUGCUAGUGGGCCGGGUUGUGAAAGGCAAACCCAAUAUAUUUCUCCUUCAUCUCUAACCUAAGGGAGUUUUACACGGUUGGAAACUUAACACAGGAGGCCAUAAACAACCGUAAAGAAGGCAUAUGGUCUUGUCAUGCUGUUGAAAGGGUAAAACAGAAAAUUCAAAUUGAUUUGUGGGAGAAUCGAUUUCACUCAGACGCAGAAGCUAGGAAUAGCAGCUUCCAGUAAAAUCGCGUUUGCUUGGUUGAAUCGAUUUUAAAAAUGAAACCCAAACAUAUUUGCAAACUUCUGAAUCGCGUUUUCACCUUCCAAACGCGCGUUUAGCAGUGUCAAACGCAGAACCAAACAGGUACUUAAUAUCUGACAGCUCAGAUGGGUAAAACCGUAAAAGUAACCCAAUUUCUAUGAAUGAGAACCAAGUUGUCAUCUUAAAUCGAUUAGUAAUGUCAAGAAGAAUUAGUGCUUUGGGAAUAUGAAGUUCGUUUCAACAGAAGUAUUGAACAUUUAAUGCAAAAGGGGGGUUAAAAUGCAACUACAUAAAAUAGAUUACUAAUAUUAAAAGUUACACGUUUUAUAAUAAUAAUUAAUAGUAGAAUACACUUUGACCAUUAUGGCUUUGACAAGUCAGAUGAGUCACUAAAGCCCAUUUCAUUGAAAUGGGUAGUUAAGAAUUUGCCUUACAAAUAAUAAUGUGAGAUAUUGUAGUAUUAAUUGUGAGGUGUAUUACUUAAUGAGUAAGUUGACUAA
This is an RNA transcript of Trifolium pratense (red clover), 1461 nucleotides long. It is a transcript of the gene named acyltransferase-like protein At3g26840, chloroplastic, with no coding region annotated. The record is from RefSeq and is a predicted model, not a curated record. The transcript is spliced from 4 exons. Lineage: Eukaryota; Viridiplantae; Streptophyta; Magnoliopsida; Fabales; Fabaceae.